GGGGAGCCCUAGCACAGGUGCUGCAUGGCCGUCGUCAGCUCGUGCCGUGAGGUGUUGGUAGUCCCGCAACGAGCGCAACCCCCGCCGUUAGUUGCCAGCGGUUCGGCCGGGCACUCUAACGGGACUGCCCGCGAAAGCGGGAGGAAGGAGGGGACGACGUCUGGUCAGCAUGGCCCUUACGGCCUGGGCGACACACGUGCUACAAUGCCCACUACAAAGCGAUGCCACCCGGCAACGGGGAGCUAAUCGCAAGAAGGUGGGCCCAGUUCGGAUUGGGGUCUGCAACCCGACCCCAUGAAGCCGGAAUCGCUAGUAAUCGCGGAUCAGCCAUGCCGCGGUGAAUACGUUCCCGGGCCUU
Molecule: ribosomal RNA, 358 nt
Filed under: uncultured Thermus sp.
Lineage: Bacteria; Thermotogati; Deinococcota; Deinococci; Thermales; Thermaceae
Description: bacterial SSU rRNA
Rfam family: Bacterial small subunit ribosomal RNA
Source: RNAcentral